AACGCACAUUGCGCCCCUCGGUAUUCCGUGGGGCAUGCCUGUUCGAGCGUCAUCUACACCCUCAAGCUCUGCUUGGUGUUGGGUGCCUGUCCCGCCCCGCGCGGCGACUCACCCCAAAUGCAUUGGCGGCGGCGCCUUGCCCCUCCCGCGCAGCACAUUGCGCUUCUCGAGGCGGCGGGACCGCGUCCACGAAGCCGACAACCCGUCUUUGACCUCGGAUCAGGUAGGGAUACCCGCUGAACUUAA
Molecule: unclassified non-coding RNA, 246 nt
Filed under: uncultured fungus
Lineage: Eukaryota; Fungi
Description: partial contains 5.8S ribosomal RNA, internal transcribed spacer 2, and large subunit ribosomal RNA
Source: RNAcentral